AAGUCGUAACAAGGUCUCCGUUGGUGAACCAGCGGAGGGAUCAUUACAGAGUUGCAAAACUCCCACAAACCAUCGCGAAUCUUACCCGUACGGUUGCCUCGGCGCUGGCGGUCCGGAAAGGCCCUCGGGUCCUCCCGGAUCCUCGGGUCUCCCGCUCGCGGGAGGCUGCCCGCCGGAGUGCCGAAACUAAACUCUUGAUAUUUUAUGUCUCUCUGAGUAAACUUUUAGAUAAGUCAAAA
RNAcentral lists this unclassified non-coding RNA (239 nucleotides) under plant metagenome. RNAcentral's name for it is "partial contains small subunit ribosomal RNA and internal transcribed spacer 1". The stretch from base 1 to 46 matches the Rfam family "Eukaryotic small subunit ribosomal RNA", at positions 1786 to 1831 of the family's 1831-position model. The record is from RNAcentral.